GGCCCAUUACCUCAGUUGGUUAGAGCGUGGUGCUAAUAACGCGAAGGUCGCAGGUUCGAGACCUGCAUGGGCAU
Molecule: transfer RNA, 74 nt
Filed under: Tetracentron sinense
Lineage: Eukaryota; Viridiplantae; Streptophyta; Magnoliopsida; Trochodendrales; Trochodendraceae
Rfam family: tRNA
About the family: Transfer RNA (tRNA) molecules are approximately 80 nucleotides in length. Their secondary structure includes four short double-helical elements and three loops (D, anti-codon, and T loops). Further hydrogen bonds mediate the characteristic L-shaped molecular structure. tRNAs have two regions of fundamental functional importance: the anti-codon, which is responsible for specific mRNA codon recognition, and the 3' end, to which the tRNAs corresponding amino acid is attached (by aminoacyl-tRNA synthetases). tRNAs cope with the degeneracy of the genetic code in two manners: having more than one tRNA (with a specific anti-codon) for a particular amino acid; and 'wobble' base-pairing, i.e. permitting non-standard base-pairing at the 3rd anti-codon position.
Source: Rfam by way of RNAcentral